This 508-nucleotide ribosomal RNA is filed under the name uncultured bacterium. RNAcentral's name for it is "partial 16S ribosomal RNA". It matches the Rfam family "Bacterial small subunit ribosomal RNA", at positions 28 to 507 of the family's 1533-position model. The record is from RNAcentral.
GACGAACGCUGGCGGCGUGCCUAAUACAUGCAAGUCGAACGCUUCUUUCCUCCCGAGUUCUUGCACUCGAUUGGAAAGAGGAGUGGCGGACGGGUGAGUAACACGUCGGUAACCUACCCAUCAGAGGGGGAGAACACUUGGAAACAGGUGCUAAUACCGCAUAACAGUUUAUGCCGCAUGGCAUAAGAGUGAAAGGCGCUUUCGGGUGUCGUUGAUGGAUGGACCCGCGGUGCAUUAGCUAGUUGGUGAGGUAACGGCUCACCAAGGCCACGAUGCAUAGCCGACCUGAGAGGGUGAUCGGCCACACUGGGACUGAGACACGGCCCAGACUCCUACGGGAGGCAGCAGUAGGGAAUCUUCGGCAAUGGACGAAAGUCUGGCCGAGCAACGCCGCGUGAGUGGAAGAGGUUUUCGGAUCGGAAAACUCUGUUGUUAGUGAAGAACAAGGACGUUAGUAACUGAACGUCCCCUGACGGUAACUAACCAGAAAGCCACGGCUAACUACGUG